Molecule: ribosomal RNA, 460 nt
Filed under: uncultured bacterium
Lineage: Bacteria
Description: partial 16S ribosomal RNA
Rfam family: Bacterial small subunit ribosomal RNA
Source: RNAcentral
CCUACGGGUGGCAGCAGUGAGGAAUAUUGGUCAAUGGACGAGAGUCUGAACCAGCCAAGUAGCGUGAAGGAUGACUGCCCUAUGGGUUGUAAACUUCUUUUAUAAAGGAAUAAAACGAGGCACGUGUGCCUUUUUGCAUGUACUUUAUGAAUAAGGAUCGGCUAACUCCGUGCCAGCAGCCGCGGUAAUACGGAGGAUCCGAGCGUUAUCCGGAUUUAUUGGGUUUAAAGGGAGCGUAGAUGGGUUGUUAAGUCCGUUGUGAAAGGUUGCGGCUCAACCGUAAAAUUGCAAUUGAAACUGGCAGUCUUGAGUACAGUUGAGGUAGGCGGAAUUCGUGGUGUAGCGGUGAAAUGCUUAGAUAUCACGAAGAACCCCGAUUGCGAAGGCAGCUUACUAAACUGUGACUGACAUUGAUGCUCGAAGGUGUGGGUAUCAAACAGGAUUAGAUACCCUUGUAGUC